AAUGAACGCUGGCGGCGUGCUUAACACAUGCAAGUCGCACGAGAACGCUUCAGCUUGCUGAGGCAAGUAAAGUGGCGUACGGGUGAGUAACACGUGGGCAAUCUACCUCCGAAUUGGGGAUAACAUUGCGAAAGCGAUGCUAAUACCGAAUGAUAUCUUUUCGGCUGCGGCCUUAAAGAUCAAAGGUGGUCACUACAUGUAAACUACUGUUUGGAGAUGAGCCCGCGCACCAUUAGCUAGUUGGUAGGGUAACGGCCUACCAAGGCUUCGAUGGUUAGCUGGUCUGAGAGGAUGAUCAGCCACACUGGAACUGACACACGGUCCAGACUCCUACGGGUGCAG
Molecule: ribosomal RNA, 342 nt
Filed under: uncultured Pseudomonadota bacterium
Lineage: Bacteria; Pseudomonadati; Pseudomonadota
Description: bacterial SSU rRNA
Rfam family: Bacterial small subunit ribosomal RNA
Source: RNAcentral